Molecule: long non-coding RNA, 1211 nt
Organism: Vitis riparia (riverbank grape)
Lineage: Eukaryota; Viridiplantae; Streptophyta; Magnoliopsida; Vitales; Vitaceae
Exons: 3
Source: RefSeq, a predicted model, not a curated record
GGAAAAUGAAACACCUCUACAAAAUGUGGCAGAACUGACCAUUUUCACUAUGCAUGGGCUGGAGAAUACUUUGGUGAACAUUUAUUCUUUCCCAAUUUAGUCCACACACAAAUAUUUGUCUUCUCAAAUAAUCCAUCUUUAUAAAGCACUUGUUAACUAUGCCAACAAGCAAGGAGUCUCCCCUCUCCAUGUAAGAUUUUCUCUUGUUGGAAAAAGAAUGCUCUAUGGCUAGCUAGACUGCCACAGGCUUUUUGCCAUACUGUAGGAUCCUCCUUCUCACACUGUGGCACCUUGUUAUGAAUAAUCCACAUAUGAUGAAAUUACAAUGGAAUCCAGUCGCAGCAAAAAGGGUUCCAGCCAGGCGGCAUGUCACUGCAUAUGCUGGAAAUGUAGCAACUUCAAUCCAUCUAUAAGGACACAGAACUGCCCUGACCUUUACUCCUUGGCCAUUCAUGGCAUUGACUCAGGGAAGAAGAACAUAGUGUUACUACCGAUGGAGAAUAGGCAUUCCCAUGUGUAUCAGCUUUUACUGAAGAUAAAUAUUCUGAAAGAUAUACUGUAUUUGGUGGAGUGGAUGAUAAAGGGAAAAGUGCAUUGCAUCUUGCUGCUAUGUUUACUGGUUAUCAUCUUCGCUCUCUCCUUAUGCUGCAUAUGGGAAAUCAAGUGGUACAAGUACCAGACUAUAAAACAUAUUUUCUCACAUGAACACGAAGAUCUGGUGCAAAAGGGUGGACAAUGGCUGGCUAGCAAAGCCAAUUGAUGCCCGGUGGUGGCUACUCUCAUUGCAACUGUUGCCUUCACCACAUCAGCAGCUGUACCAGGAGGCACCAAGAAAACAGCACUUCAUAUCUUUGCAAUUUCAUGACUUAUUGCUCUUUGAUUUUCAGUCACGACAUCUAGGUGUCAAGAACAAGACUUUGGUUCUGAUUUGCCCAGCAAGCUUUUGGUUGGACUAACUUCUCUUUUCACAUCCAUAUUGGCUACCUUGGUCAUUUUCUGUGCUGGCCAGUUCUUUGUUCUCAGAAAGAACUCAGAAUUGCCGCAUUAACAUGCCUUCCAGAAAUAUUUUUUACAAUAGCCUAGCUACAUCUAUCAGGUUACUGUGAUAUUUUUUUCAUAAUGAAUAAGAAUCAAGUACUCUCUUUUGUAUGUUAUUCGAUCCCUUUCGUAUUAUGCUCUACUUAGGUUUAUAAGAGCAUUGAAAAAAAAAA